AAUAUAAUCUAGAUCUAAUCUUGACUAGUUUCAACCUAAUUAAUGCGUCAGAGAAGCCCACAUCUAACUAAUGAGUAUCCUAAAGCUCUACUGCUAGAACCUUGCUCAGCAAGUCUCCUCAAGCCCUAAGACCAUAUGGUCGGCUGCCCACAAAAAAUGCACUGAAGUCUUAGACAUCCUAGACACCAGCUACCCAUCCUAAAGAGGGAAUCCCCAUACCAACCAUCUGGGAGACAG
RNAcentral lists this unclassified non-coding RNA (237 nucleotides) under Hevea brasiliensis (rubber tree). Lineage: Eukaryota; Viridiplantae; Streptophyta; Magnoliopsida; Malpighiales; Euphorbiaceae. The record is from RNAcentral.